This 222-nucleotide long non-coding RNA is filed under the name Lathyrus oleraceus (garden pea). RNAcentral's name for it is "Pisum sativum (pea) long non-coding RNA (PSAT_LNC035900)". The record is from RNAcentral. Lineage: Eukaryota; Viridiplantae; Streptophyta; Magnoliopsida; Fabales; Fabaceae.
UUUUAACAAAAACUAAUAAAAGAAACAGAGAUCUAGGUAAGGGGGUUGGUUAUGCAAUGGGAAGGUGUUAGGCACCCAAAACAUCCUAGGUACUCCUAGGGAGCCCUUCUCACACUUGUGAAGGUUGUUGUCUUGUGAAAAUUUUUAUUUGUGCAAACAUGAUUGAAGAGAUGAGAAGAGAAUAUACAAGUUAUUUACAUUUUUGUGUUUGGAUGGAGAAAC